Long non-coding RNA from Acanthopagrus latus (yellowfin seabream), 570 nucleotides. RefSeq lists it as uncharacterized. Lineage: Eukaryota; Metazoa; Chordata; Actinopteri; Spariformes; Sparidae. The transcript is spliced from 2 exons. The record is from RefSeq and is a predicted model, not a curated record.
GUCCCAACAUGUGGUUUUUCAAUAUGCUGUGAUGAGUAGCUGGGAUAAAAACGAACAAUGAGUGACUCACAAUGGGAAAGCUGAACAAAUCCCAACUUUUUCUCAGCUCAUCUCUGGUUGAUUUGGCCGGGUGUGUUGACAACAAAGAGGACUAGAGAGAGAUCCGUCGUGGGCUGGAAAAGGUGUCAGAUAACCUGCCGCAUACGGUGACAGUAGAGGACAGUGUGGGCGGUGGUAGCAUAUCGGGUGUCUUUUCACUUUCUGGCCAGAUAUGAUCAUUUAUAGGGUGGGGAAGCUGGAUCUGGAUGGAUGUUCCAAAAUGAACUGGACAUUUAAACCCUAAAAUAUAAUGCUCAUAAACACUUGCAGUGUUCAACAGCGAUGCAAGCCCUGAAGGAUUUACAGCUGCUGUGCUGAAAAACAGCCAUAAGUUCCAUGAACUGAUUUUCCUGUGUAUCACAUUAUUAUAUUCAACAGGUUGCCAAAGGAAGAUCUGGUCUGCCUGAACCAGUUUAUGUACCAAGUACCAAGUACAUGUACCUAAAAUUUUAGUAAAAGCAAUUUAAUUUU